RNAcentral lists this transfer RNA (65 nucleotides) under Pheropsophus occipitalis. Its description in RNAcentral is "tRNA-Cys". The record is from RNAcentral. Lineage: Eukaryota; Metazoa; Arthropoda; Insecta; Coleoptera; Carabidae.
UACCAAUUUUUAUUUCAUGGUUCUAUAGUUUACUUAUAUAAAAUAUUAAAUUGCAAAUUUAAAGA